CAGUCGCCGCGGUAAUACAGAGGGUGCGAGCGUUAAUCGGAUUUACUGGGCGUAAAGCGUGCGUAGGCGGCUUUUUAAGUCGGAUGUGAAAUCCCUGAGCUUAACUUAGGAAUUGCAUUCGAUACUGGGUCACUAGAGUGUGGUAGAGGAUAGUGGAAUUUCCGGUGUAGCAGUGAAAUGCGUAGAGAUCUGGAGGAAUACCGAUGGCGAAGGCAGCCAUCUGGCCUAACACUGACGCUGAGGUACGAAAGCAUGGGGAGCAAACAGGAUUAGAUACCCCCGUAGUCCCUGUCUCUUAUAC
This 301-nucleotide ribosomal RNA is filed under the name uncultured bacterium. RNAcentral's name for it is "partial 16S ribosomal RNA". It matches the Rfam family "Bacterial small subunit ribosomal RNA", at positions 509 to 807 of the family's 1533-position model. The record is from RNAcentral.